This 330-nucleotide ribosomal RNA is filed under the name uncultured Aquicella sp. Its description in RNAcentral is "bacterial SSU rRNA". It matches the Rfam family "Bacterial small subunit ribosomal RNA", at positions 568 to 898 of the family's 1533-position model. Lineage: Bacteria; Pseudomonadati; Pseudomonadota; Gammaproteobacteria; Legionellales; Coxiellaceae. The record is from RNAcentral.
CGCGUAGGCGGUGAGAUGUGUGUGAUGUGAAAGCCCCGGGCUUAACCUGGGAAGUGCAUCGCAAACUGUCUGACUGGAGUAUAUGAGAGGGUGGCGGAAUUUCCGGUGUAGCGGUGAAAUGCGUAGAGAUCGGAAGGAACGUCGAUGGCGAAGGCAGCCACCUGGCAUAAUACUGACGCUGAGGCGCGAAAGCGUGGGGAUCGAACAGGAUUAGAUACCCUGGUAGUCCACGCUGUAAACGAUGAGUACUAGAUGUUGGUAGGGGAACCUAUCGGUAUCGAAGCUAACGCGAUAAGUAUUCCGCCUGGGAAGUACGGCCGCAAGGUUGAA